GAUUUCUGGCCCUGCGUGAUUGGCCCGCUACCGUUCGGUAUGUGAGUGCCGGUUUGCGCAUGCCAUCCUUCUAGGCGACAUGUCUGCACUGAAAGGUGACGGACAUGCGUGCUUAGAUCUUUUACUUUGAAAAAAUUAGAGUGUUUAAAGCAGGCUGUUGCUAUGAAUACAUUAGCAUGGAAUAAUAAUUUAGGACUUCGGUUCUAUUUUGUUGGUUUUGCGAACUGAAGUAAUGAUUGAUAGGGAUAGUUGGGGGUGCUAGUAUUCAGUGGCCAGAGGUGAAAUUCUCGGAUUCACUGAAGACUAACUUAUGCGAAAGCAUU
RNAcentral lists this ribosomal RNA (323 nucleotides) under Allapsa sp. Its description in RNAcentral is "SSU rRNA". The stretch from base 104 to 323 matches the Rfam family "Eukaryotic small subunit ribosomal RNA", at positions 734 to 955 of the family's 1831-position model. Lineage: Eukaryota; Cercozoa; Glissomonadida; Allapsidae. The record is from RNAcentral.